Molecule: ribosomal RNA, 459 nt
Filed under: uncultured bacterium
Lineage: Bacteria
Description: partial 16S ribosomal RNA
Rfam family: Bacterial small subunit ribosomal RNA
Source: RNAcentral
CCUACGGGCGGCAGCAGUGAGGAAUAUUGGUCAAUGGGCGGGAGCCUGAACCAGCCAAGUCGCGUGAAGGAUGACGGCACUUAGUGUUGUAAACUUCUUUUGUCGGGGAACAAAGGGGGAGACGCGUCUCCGUAUGAGUGUAACCGAAGAAAAAGCAUCGGCUAAAUCCGUGCCAGCCGCCGCGGUAAUAAGGAGGGUGCGGGCGGUAUCCGGAUUUAUUGGGGUUAAAGGGGUCGGAGGCGGGAGAUCAAGGCAGCGGUAAAAAGUCGGGGCUCAACCCCGGCCGGCCGUUGAAACUGGUGUUCUAGAGUGGGAGAGAAGUAUGCGGAAUGCGUGGUGUAGCGGUGAAAUGCAUAGAUAUCACGAAGAACUCCGAUUGCGAAGGCAGCAUACCGGCGCCAUACUGACGCUGAGGCACGAAAGCGUGGGGAUCGAACAGGAUUAGAUACCCUAGUAGUC